GUUCUCACUUCAGCAGCACAUACACUAAAAUUGGAACAAUACAGAGAUUUGCAUGGCCCCUGCACAAGGAUGACACACAAAUUCGUGAAUUGUUCCUUAUUUUC
Loxodonta africana (African savanna elephant) is the source of this 104-nucleotide small nuclear RNA. The record is from Ensembl. Lineage: Eukaryota; Metazoa; Chordata; Mammalia; Proboscidea; Elephantidae.